CCCUGUCAUUUUAUACAGGUCUGUUUAGACUGGAAGCUGGUUAAUGGGCAACCUUUGCCCUUUGGCUAAAAGCUGUGACCAGGAAAUCCCACCUCCCCUUAAUGAGGGUUUUGUUCAGGUUCCUGGAGUACCCAACACACAGCUUCUGCUCUGCAAAGGCAUUGUCUGCCAGGCUUAGAAGAAGAAAAAGGAAAAGAAAAACAAACAAAGACAAAGAAAAAAACCUUCCGCUGUUGAAUUAAAACAGCCAACUCCAGCCCCCAAGCAAGUUUCAGUCUCUAUUAAGCCAACAAAAGGCCCUAAAUGCCAGGCCAGGGACACAAAGAGCGAGGAGAAAGGGGGAGCCACGGGAGGAGGAGAGCGUGAGGAAGAGAAGGAAACUCAAUUAACUGUUGCAGGCUUCUGGGGCAGACGGAGUUCAGAGAGCAAGCGGCACUCUGAUGACAAGAGAGGCAGCACCCAGGC
This 465-nucleotide long non-coding RNA is filed under the name Fukomys damarensis (Damara mole-rat). RNAcentral describes it as "lncRNA (ENSFDAG00000033130.1)". Lineage: Eukaryota; Metazoa; Chordata; Mammalia; Rodentia; Bathyergidae. The record is from RNAcentral.